GGCGAAUGUAACUCAGUUGGUUAGAGUGCCAAAUUGUGGCUUUGGAAGUCGUGGGUUCGAAUCCCAUUAUUCGCC
This 75-nucleotide transfer RNA is filed under the name Heterosigma akashiwo. Its description in RNAcentral is "tRNA-His". It matches the Rfam family "tRNA". Rfam says of the family: Transfer RNA (tRNA) molecules are approximately 80 nucleotides in length. The record is from RNAcentral. Lineage: Eukaryota; Raphidophyceae; Chattonellales; Chattonellaceae.